AUACGUAGGGUGCAAGCGUUAAUCGGAAUUACUGGGCGUAAAGCGUGCGCAGGCGGUUUUGUAAGACAGAGGUGAAAUCCCCGGGCUCAAACUGGGAACUGCCUUUGUGACUGCAAGGCUAGAGUACGGCAGAGGGGGAUGGAAUUCCGCGUGUAGCAGGGAAAUGAGUAGAUAUGCGGAUGAACACCGAUGGCGAAGGCAAUCCCCUGGGCCUGUACUGACGCUCAUGCACGAAAGCGUGGGUAGCAAACAGGAUUAGAUACCCUGGUAGUCCACGCCCUAAACGAUGUCAACUGGUUGUUGGGUCUUCAUUGACUCAGUAACGAAGCUAACGCGUGAAGUUGACCGCCUGGGGAGUACGGCCGCAAGGUUGAAACUCAAAUGAAUUGACGGGU
Molecule: ribosomal RNA, 395 nt
Filed under: uncultured bacterium
Lineage: Bacteria
Description: partial 16S ribosomal RNA
Rfam family: Bacterial small subunit ribosomal RNA
Source: RNAcentral